GGUGAUUUUAAGAUCUUGAAGUGGGUGACCCUUUAUUUCUCAGGUAACGUCUCUUCCGUGGCUUUUAUAGCGAUGGUUUCGAAAAAUUUGAUCAUUAACUACAAUCAAAGGAUCAUCACUCGCAGGAAUGAAUCGAACCGAAGGAUAUCAAAACUUUAGGCUUUAAUUUUAUGUAAACUUUUAGCUAGAAGUUAGAAAACUUCAAUAAAUGUGUGAUAUUUUUCAA
This is a long non-coding RNA of Drosophila bipectinata, 226 nucleotides long. RefSeq lists it as uncharacterized. The record is from RefSeq and is a predicted model, not a curated record. Lineage: Eukaryota; Metazoa; Arthropoda; Insecta; Diptera; Drosophilidae.